AGGACGAACACUGGCGGCGUGCUUAACACAUGCAAGUCGAGCGGAAAGGCCCUUCGGGGUACUCGAGCGGCGAACGGGUGAGUAACACGUGAGUAAUCUGCCCCUAGCUCUGGGAUAGCUCCGGGAAACCGGGAUUAAUACCAGAUACGACCACUUUAGACAUCUGUUGUGGUGGAAAGAAUUUUGGCUAGGGAUGAGCUCGCGGCCUAUCAGCUUGUUGGUGAGGUAACGGCUCACCAAGGCGACGACGGGUAGCCGGCCUGAGAGGGCGACCGGCCACACUGGGACUGAGACACGGCCCAGACUCCUACGGGAGGCAGCAGUGGGGAUAUUGCGCAAUGGGCGAAAGCCUGACGCAGCGACGCCGCGUGGGGGAUGAAGGCCUUCGGGUUGUAACCCCUUUCAGCAGGGACGAAGCGAAAGUGACGGUACCUGCAGAAGAAGCGCCGGCUAACUACGCGCCAGCAGCCGC
RNAcentral lists this ribosomal RNA (472 nucleotides) under uncultured bacterium. RNAcentral's name for it is "SSU rRNA". It matches the Rfam family "Bacterial small subunit ribosomal RNA", at positions 26 to 518 of the family's 1533-position model. The record is from RNAcentral.